Molecule: long non-coding RNA, 552 nt
Organism: Strongylocentrotus purpuratus (purple sea urchin)
Lineage: Eukaryota; Metazoa; Echinodermata; Echinoidea; Camarodonta; Strongylocentrotidae
Exons: 3
Source: RefSeq, a predicted model, not a curated record
CUAGAUCGGGAAUGGGCGGACAAGAGUGAGAGUUACUGAGCUUAUAUCCCAGCAAAAUCCUGCUAAAAGAACGCUGCGAUUCACCAAAAUAUUUACAAAUAACCAGAGAAAACCAAGCAUUUAUCAUCUUGCAGCUGUAUCAAUUAAUUAUCUAGAGGAGAACGAGAUUACAUACUACAUUUCCUUUGGCUUUUCCUGUUAUGAAGGUGUCCUAGCCCAGUGGAGCAUGCAGACAAGGUGAUCACUGAUGUUAUCCAAGACAUUGCUAGCCGAAGAGUGAGCUGUAAUUCUCAAACGAUGUCAUUCGGAAACCGAGAAGGUGUCAUUCGCCAAGAUUUAUGAAGAAGACGUGAUAGCUCUUUUCAUCUCGUUCAAGGUUGGAGGGAGAUAUCACGAGCGAAUAUAUCAUUGAUGAGAAAUUGAGAAGUGAAUGUUUCUUUGGAGAUACUGCAGGGAAAGCAGAGUGAUUGAUCAUAACUGGAGACCAUUGGAUAUCAUAUGCCUUCUCCUGCUCAACAAAAAUUGGUUCAUUGACUGCAGUUUUUCAACUAU